RNAcentral lists this ribosomal RNA (543 nucleotides) under uncultured bacterium. RNAcentral's name for it is "bacterial SSU rRNA". It matches the Rfam family "Bacterial small subunit ribosomal RNA", at positions 777 to 1318 of the family's 1533-position model. The record is from RNAcentral.
AAUAGAUACCCGGGUAGUCCACGCCGUAAACGAUGAGUGCUAAGUGUUAGGGGGUUUCCGCCCCUUAGUGCUGCAGCUAACGCAUUAAGCACUCCGCCUGGGGAGUACGGUCGCAAGACUGAAACUCAAAGGAAUUGACGGGGGCCCGCACAAGCGGUGGAGCAUGUGGUUUAAUUCGAAGCAACGCGAAGAACCUUACCAGGUCUUGACAUCCCGUUGACCACUGUAGAGAUAUAGUUUCCCCUUCGGGGGCAACGGUGACAGGUGGUGCAUGGUUGUCGUCAGCUCGUGUUGUGAGAUGUUGGGUUAAGUCCCGCAACGAGCGCAACCCUUGAUCUUAGUUGCCAUCAUUUAGUUGGGCACUCUAAGGUGACUGCCGGUGACAAACCGGAGGAAGGUGGGGAUGACGUCAAAUCAUCAUGCCCCUUAUGACCUGGGCUACACACGUGCUACAAUGGACGAUACAAACGGUUGCCAACUCGCGAGAGGGAGCUAAUCCGAUAAAGUCGUUCUCAGUUCGGAUUGUAGGCUGCAACUCGCCUA